Molecule: ribosomal RNA, 301 nt
Filed under: uncultured bacterium
Lineage: Bacteria
Description: partial 16S ribosomal RNA
Rfam family: Bacterial small subunit ribosomal RNA
Source: RNAcentral
CAGCAGCCACGGGAAAACGGAGGGAGCUAGCGUUGUUCGGAAUUACUGGGCGUAAAGCGCACGUAGGCGGCUUUGUAAGUUAGAGGUGAAAGCCUGGAGCUCAACUCCAGAACUGCCUUUAAGACUGCAUCGCUUGAAUCCAGGAGAGGUGAGUGGAAUUCCGAGUGUAGAGGUGAAAUUCGUAGAUAUUCGGAAGAACACCAGUGGCGAAGGCGGCUCACUGGACUGGUAUUGACGCUGAGGUGCGAAAGCGUGGGGAGCAAACAGGAUUAGAUACCCCUGUAGUCCCUGUCUCUUAUAC